AGCUUUUUGAAUCCGCGCAGGGAUUUCGUCAGACACCAACCCAUUAGGGCUGAUUAAACUUCUAAGAUGUUGUCGAAGCA
MicroRNA precursor from Schistosoma mansoni, 80 nucleotides. It matches the Rfam family "mir-3492 microRNA precursor family". NCBI's taxonomy places the organism in Eukaryota, Metazoa, Platyhelminthes, Trematoda, Strigeidida, Schistosomatidae. The record is from Rfam.